GAAGGUUUGGCUCAAGUAGUAGAACAUCUGCCUUGUAAACACGAGGCCCUGAGUUCAAAUCUCAGUACCACCA
This 73-nucleotide transfer RNA is filed under the name Dipodomys ordii (Ord's kangaroo rat). It matches the Rfam family "tRNA". Rfam says of the family: Transfer RNA (tRNA) molecules are approximately 80 nucleotides in length. Their secondary structure includes four short double-helical elements and three loops (D, anti-codon, and T loops). The record is from Rfam by way of RNAcentral. Lineage: Eukaryota; Metazoa; Chordata; Mammalia; Rodentia; Heteromyidae.